This 483-nucleotide ribosomal RNA is filed under the name uncultured bacterium. Its description in RNAcentral is "bacterial SSU rRNA". It matches the Rfam family "Bacterial small subunit ribosomal RNA", at positions 501 to 982 of the family's 1533-position model. The record is from RNAcentral.
CUACGUGCCAGCAGCCGCGGUAAUACGUAGGUCCCGAGCGUUGUCCGGAUUUAUUGGGCGUAAAGCGAGCGCAGGCGGUUAGAUAAGUCUGAAGUUAAAGGCUGUGGCUUAACCAUAGUACGCUUUGGAAACUGUUUAACUUGAGUGCAGAAGGGGAGAGUGGAAUUCCAUGUGUAGCGGUGAAAUGCGUAGAUAUAUGGAGGAACACCGGUGGCGAAAGCGGCUCUCUGGUCUGUAACUGACGCUGAGGCUCGAAAGCGUGGGGAGCGAACAGGAUUAGAUACCCUGGUAGUCCAUGCCGUAAACGUUGGGCACUAGGUGUGGGGGACAUUCCACGUUUUCCGCGCCGUAGCUAACGCAUUAAGUGCCCCGCCUGGGGAGUACGGCCGCAAGGCUAAAACUCAAAGAAAUUGACGGGGGCCCGCACAAGCGGCGGAGCAUGCGGAUUAAUUCGAUGCAACGCGAAGAACCUUACCAAGGCUU